GCUGGGCAUGGUGGUGCAUGCCUGUAGUCCCAGCUACUCGGGAGGCUGAGGUGGGAGGAUUAUUUGUGCCCGGGAGGUUGAGGCUGCAGUGAGCUGAAAUCACAUCACUGGACUCCAGCCUGGGCAACAGAGCGAGACCCUGUCUCAU
RNAcentral lists this non-coding RNA (148 nucleotides) under Pan paniscus (pygmy chimpanzee). The record is from Rfam by way of RNAcentral. RNAcentral also lists the same sequence under 1 other name. Lineage: Eukaryota; Metazoa; Chordata; Mammalia; Primates; Hominidae.